This 512-nucleotide ribosomal RNA is filed under the name uncultured bacterium. RNAcentral's name for it is "partial 16S ribosomal RNA". It matches the Rfam family "Bacterial small subunit ribosomal RNA", at positions 28 to 523 of the family's 1533-position model. The record is from RNAcentral.
GACGAACGCUGGUGGCGUGCCUAAUACAUGCAAGUCGAGCGGACCAAUAGAAGCUUGCUUCUGUUGGUUAGCGGCGGACGGGUGAGUAACACGUGGGCAACCUGCCUGUAAGACUGGGAUAACUUCGGGAAACCGGAGCUAAUACCGGAUAAUUCAUCCCCUCGCAUGAGGGGAUGCUGAAAGUCGGUUUACGCUGACACUUACAGAUGGGCCCGCGGCGCAUUAGCUAGUUGGUGAGGUAAUGGCUCACCAAGGCGACGAUGCGUAGCCGACCUGAGGGGGUGAUCGGCCACACUGGGACUGAGACACGGCCCAGACUCCUACGGGAGGCAGCAGUAGGGAAUCUUCCACAAUGGACGAAAGUCUGAUGGAGCAACGCCGCGUGAGCGAUGAAGGCCUUCGGGUCGUAAAGCUCUGUUGCUAGGGAAGAACAAGUAUCGGAGUAACUGCCGGUACCUUGACGGUACCUAACCAGAAAGCCACGGCUAACUACGUGCCAGCCGCCGCCGUAA